AAAAAAGAGAAACAGCCUGUUCAAACAAUCGCUGUCAAAGAUUUUGGGGUGUGGGAGGAGGGAACCUAAACCAUCUUCUUUAUAAAAUCAGUUCCUCACAGCCAGUUCCUCUUGUAGGAUGAGUCCUUUGCAUCUGAUUAGAAUCAUUUUUGUAACAAGCAGGUUUUCCUGGCUUUCUUUUCAAAUAAAAUGUUAAAAGCAGCAGUGUUUGGACAGCGGAUUGUUCUGUUAAACUUUCCUAUCUUCUCACUGUAUCCAGAAAUGCUCCUUCCUAGCAGCAGUAGUAGCUUUUCUCCAUUUUGUUUUUUCUGCAACAUUCUGUACAAAAAUGUGCUGUAAUUGUGCGUUAGGCCUGGAUUUGGCAUAAAAGAUGAAUUCCUUCUUUCUCUCUUUCAUGAAACUACUCUGUAGAGCUUUUUCCACACCCUGUAUCCCUCUUCACCUUUUGUAUUUAAUUUUAAAGUCAGUGUACUUCAAGAAAGCUGGAUGCAAGAUAGAUACUAUAUUAAAAUGUAAUGUUAUUUAAGAUGUAAUAAAGCAGUUUGACAUGAGUUUUGACUGAUCUGUUUUGCAGCUUAUUGUUCUACUUACAAAACUGCUUCUGGCAGAAGAAUUUGAGUUAUGGAGUAUAAUAUGAGAGGUCAAAACAUGUCUUUAAUUGCUCGGUAUUUUAAUUAGGUAAUGUAUGUACUGUGUAUGAAAGGUCUGAAUUGUAUAUGUGUGAGAAGAUGCAGGACUCGGUCGGUUUUUGGUGUUUUUAGUGCUAAAAGCAGUUGGAAGAUGAACUAAAACCUCCGUGUUCUUUAUUAACAGGCAGUAUUCAAAUAUUGCUGGCAACUUUUAAAAAUGUAUAUGUGAAAGUGAUACAUGCUAAUGCAGAAUUUAAUGAUAUAGUAUGUAUAUAGAGUUCAGUGGCUGCAGGCAUUUUUCUUCCUCCAUUCUUAAUUAUUUAGGAUCGUUUUAUUGCUAGGCCUUCUCAAAUGCUUAAUUGAAAACAGUUGGCACUCCCUUAGCUCGGAUUCCAAACAAAAAGAGCUGAUGUGAUUUGCAUUGGUAUACAUCACAAAAAUGUUCGGUGGAAUAUAUAUUGAGUGUAAUGCCUGAAGCAGGAAAUCAGAGAGCAAAACAUUUAGUAACUUAAACUUUUGUGCCCUUUAAUAGGAAAAGAAUUGAGUGGAACAUCUUAUGUUACUGCUAUAUGAGGAUCUGGCCAGAUAAGCUGUGUUGUCAGUGUUAGCUGUCCUUACUGUAGGUAUUGAGAAGGGUAAGUAGUUGUCAUUUUAAUGCUCAGUAAGAAUAAAGUCUGCACAAAACAGCACUAUAUAUCUAGAAAACUCUUGAUUUUGUACCCACAGAAGUAAAGUUUUGCAGCAACUAUUUAGAGAUGCUGAAAUGCAGUUGGUUUAGCAACUUGAUAUUUGUCCACUUAAGACCCCCCCCUUUUUUUUUUUGUGGGUAAAAUUUCUUUUAUAAUCUGACUCAAAUUAGAAUAGAUUUUCAUUCAUUUCACACCAACCAAGACAAAUUCCAAUAUGAAGUCCUGGUUUCAUGCCAAACAUGGGUAUUCGCAGCCUUGAUAGAGAAGUAUUAAAGUUUAAGUAUGGAAAAUAUGAUGGUGGCAUUACUUAACUACAAGUCAUAACUAAGAGCUUUGGGUUUUGGGACUGUGUAACACUGGUAAGUUGUUUAUGGCUGGAAAUACUUAAAUGUUAGAAUUCAGAGAGUCUCUUCCAACUUCAGAUGGUAUAGCUCUUUUUCCACUCACAUGGAAUAUUUUUAUUACAAUUGAUGUUUUGUAUGUGAAGUUUGUCUAGUCUAUAAUAAAAUCAGUGCAGAUGUUAUGUAUUACUUUGCUUAAUCUCCAUCCAUACACUAAAUUACUGUUUCCUACCUGUUCUGAUAAUGCUUUUGCUUGGCAGUAAGAUACCAAGGUAGUAACUUCCUGUGUCAAGAGGCUAAUAGGUCGUGUGAUUGAUUUGAAAUGCUAGCAGGUGAAGAUUUCUCUAUUACAGGCUGUGUAUCUGUUAAACACAAUCUUUACACUGUAUUGCUUAGAUGUCUUUUUCUAUGCUUAGUAAUUCAGGGAGCUGUAACUCAAGAUGAAAGAUAAUUUAAAGAUAAUCCUGGAAUAUGGUUCCAAAAGAGUAGCAUCACCCAGCUGCUGGCGCGUUCCUAGAGCAAGGUUUUAUAAGUUGAGGACUGUGUUUGAAAGUGAUUCAUCUGUGCCUGGCCUCAGUGACAGCUUCUGCAGUUCCUUACUCACUGUGGGCUCUGGAGUCCAGACAAGGGGAUGAAUAAAAUAUGUAAGAAAUACAAAGGGAUGUGGAGUGGUGGUUUUGCAGUGAAAUAUUGAGUAAAACUAACAAGAUGUGAGAAGCAUGUUAGUUGACAAAGGUAGCAGGACCAAUGAAUCUGAGGUACUUGGGUGAUGAGUAGAUGUGGAGAAAAGUCACAAUUGUGUGGCCAUGGGUUGGAAAGAGUGUUGCAGUAAAAAUGGACAUCCAUGGAACUGUAUACCUCAGGCAGCUGAUGGAACAAGUCAAGUGGAGGAAGAGAUAUCAGGUUUUGCAGUCUCAGUAGCUGAAGUUCAGAAUGCUGUGUUCCUAGUGGGCCUUUAAUUUCUCAGUGAAUUGAUGUAUUUCAAAAGAUCUGAGGAACUAUUGCUAAUAGAUUGGAGUUGUACUGUUUAAGUGUUGACCAUUGUGAAGUGCCCUGGAAUAUAUGUUUAAAAUCAGCAGUGAAUCACUCUUAAAAUUACUGAUUGAAUCAUGCUCUGUAAGGGCUAAAAAUAGAUUGAUCUGGUUUCUGGGAAGUGACAGAGUAAAUAAAGAAUAACAAAACUUGUCACCCUUGCUGAGUUGCGUAGCUAGGUCUGAAACAAAUCAGGAUUGUGUAUGGUAUUUCAGUUAAUGCUGCUUUUAGGGUAGGUGCAGUCUUGAAUUCAAAUAUGGGAUGAAGGAAUUACAAAAAUGAAGUAAUGAACAAAUCUGAACAGCAGUAAGCAAUUUUCAGGUAGCAGUGCUCUGUUUUUCUCCUCUUUCUAUGGCUUUUAAAAAGGUGGCUUUCACUUCAAACAUCAAACUAGUCAUUGGAUCUGAAUUACAGUGGUCAUUUUGUUGAUGUACUUCCUGUGCUACUGUAAAGAAAAUGGAAACAAGGACCAACAGGAAUAAUCAUGCUUGAUAUCUGACUCCCUGAAGCUGGUACUUUCGUUUUUUGCCAUUGAAUAAUCCAGUGAGAAGAACCAGACAGGAUUUAGACUAAAAUGGCAAAAGCCUCCCAAUGGACUUCAUCAUGUUCCUGUGAAGAAAUUACCUCCAUUUCAUAUACUGGGAGUGUGAGGCACAGAGAUGCUUGCAUUUACCCUUGUCUUCCAACGGCUGAGUUGGGACACAAACCAACUCCUCGACCUCCGGUUCUGUCUUUGGUGAGAAGAGUGUUGCUGUGUCUGCUCUUCCUGUCUGAUAUCUGCUGCUCAGGCUGACAAAUCUUGGCAGUUGCCAUCGUUUUCCACCAUGCAGAAGAACUCCUGUGAACAGCGGAAGAUGGUGGCAACAGAUCAGGGUGGAGUUAGCCUGACAUUCUGAUCCUGUUGGAGGAAAUGUCAGCUGUAAUACAUUUGGCUGUAAGCCUGGUAAAUCACAAAUACUCUGAACUUUACAGUUUAUUCUGAUAGAGAAUCUUCUGAGUUGGGUUUGGCUGAAUUCUUCACAGGACAUCCUCUGCACUUAUAUCAGGGAUUUAUGAGCAUAUCCAUCCUACUCAGAUGGUAGCCCUGUUUUUUUGUGGUGUUUGAGAGACUUUAAUACUUUGUAGCAUGGAAAUUCAGCUCUGUGGUGGAAGACCAGACCAUAAAACAGUUGUCCAGGCUCUCUGAAAGGUUAUGUAACUUGGCAGCUGCAUUGCAUCUGAAAGUUACUUGGAUCUUUCCUUCCUUCCCCCUUCCAUGUCGCAAAGCCAGCAGCUUUCAUUACUCUCCUGCUAUUUAGAAUCCAUUGGUGAAAUAUUCUGCAAGUGAUUCUAGUUUGUACUUCUCUGUUUUCAGAAAGACUAUCUUAACUGCAGCAGAUUGAAAUAAAAAGAUUUGUGAUCCUGCUGGAAAGCAUGUGCAUUAAGAACUAAUUCAUGGUAGUGCCAUGCAUUAUUUAGGGGCUUUGCUUGCAUGAGUGAUCAAAUUCAGACUCUUCAGCUGCUGGGAAUUGAGGAUUAUGCUGUAUGUAAACCUCAAAUACUGCUUUUCCUAGGCUUGCGUGACAUCUGACUUCUGAUCAGAUAGUCAUAACUGUAUAAUUAACUACUAGGUUAAUUAUUUCCAAGCAGUUUGAUUUUUGGUCACUUACAUUGAAAUUUUGGUUUCAGUAUGAUGUUUGACAAUGUGCACAAGUUUUCUGAUUUAUUUUAUAAAAGGGAGUGAAUCUCAGAUAAAAGGGAAUUAGACUCAAUCAGAAAGACUUAGGGAAGGGUUUUUUUUUUAGCUAUGAAGUUCACAUUGUAUUGCUUUGACAGGCAGAAUCCAGUAAAACUAUAUCCUGAUUCCCUUUGUAGCUUCAGAAAAAGAAAUCAUUUAAAAUUUAUUUAUUAUUUAAUAUCACUUAACUGGCUGCUAGCAGAAUGUGCUUGAAAUGUGGGAAAAAUCACAAGUUGGACAUGAAGAACAGGAGGUUUAUUCCACAAAUCACUCCAAUAAAAGCAGACUGGAGAACAGUCUGGCCAACUGGUGUAUUUCCUUCCACAUCAUCUUCUGCAAGAUAUCUUCCUACCAUGAGCACGAAAGCCAUCCUCCCUAAAUCCAUGGUGUCGUCUAGGAUAGUCUAGCAACAGAACGAAAUAGGCUUUGUGUUAAAUCUGAUGUCUGUUGGCUUCAGAGUAUCAAACUUCAGUUCAUACCGCCAUCUGGUGUUAAUAUCUGGCUUAGCCUGGGGCCUUGUCUCAGCCAUCCACAAUGCUUUGCGAGAGAAAGGCUCUCAAGGUCAGGAUGUGGUCCAAGGAAUCAGAACGGCAGCUGCUACUCCAUGCUGUGGAGGCUGCUCUGCUGUGCAUGGAGCGUGCCAGCUUGGGGUGAUUUGAAAUACUGCAAUGUGGUCAUACUUGUUGCGUUGCCUCGUGGAAACGUGCAUACCUUUGCUUCACAAUGAGGUAAAUUCAUGAAAUAUUUCGUAUGCCCUACCCAUGGUGUGAUGAACAACUUGGGAACACGUGCAAUACAGCACUGAAGAACAUGCAGGUUUGCCCCAGGAAAUGCAGCCCCCCUGCAUGUUUUUAGAGACCCCUGUGUUUUGUAGCAAUGUGGGAAUACACAUCCCUACUAUCAUUAGAUAAUACUGUUACAGCACUGUCUUGUAAAACCUAGAAUACAAAGUGCUAGUUCUUGCAUAGGUGUAUAAUGAUGAUACCGUUUAUUCUGUACUGUCCAUCUCUGUGGCGAACAUGUAACAGUAUAGCAAAGCCAGCCUUCUGCGUGUUCUAAACUGGACUGAUCUAAAAUUAAUUGCAGGAAACUGGGGAAAAACACCCAGAAAACCCACUCACUCUGUCUGAGGACCAGUCUGCUGUCACAGAGGUUGUGUAAGCAGGGUUACUGAGUUUAACAAUUCACCUUUUGUACUUGAAACUUGAGAUUUUUGAGCUUAAUUUGAAAGUUAGAGACCUUUGCUCCAUCUCAUAAACACUAGGAGGCACUGCUUGUGCAGUGUUUUAACUACAAGAGUGAGCAGUUUUUACUGCGUCUUCCUUUCUGGUUACUGGAAUUUAGUAUUCACUGUUCCCCGCACAGCUGUUAGUUUUAUUUUUAAAUAUUGGGUAUUUUGUAGAUACAUUUUCUUUUGUGCGAGAGGAAAAGGCUGCCUUCACCUCUCUGUGCCUUUCUGAGAACCAGAAUAAAGGUUUUGAAUGGGAAGGUUUUCAAAUGCAUCUGUUAUCUGAGCAUCUGCAAAAUAGAAGGGAAUUGAAAACAUGAAAAGAAUGUUAAUAAUGCUUGGGUGUCGAGAAUUCUAAUGCAAAUGAUCCAGCAGUUGGCAGAGACUAGUCUGCUUUCAUUUCUGUUUUGGACAGAAGGAUGCAUUGUAAGGCUUUUAUCCCGAAUUAAUCCCCACCUUAUACUGAAGCUUUUGAAUACCAAACUUUUUUCACCUGUAUCUGUGUUACCGAUUGUAUCAACUGUUCUUAGGGGGUGGGGGGAAAAUCACGGGAAUACCAGGGCACUAUAUAGAUUUCUUGUGCUAUCAGAUGGACAGCACAAACCUAGAGCUUAAGGGAACAAAGAUGUGUGAUUUAUAAGAAGAAAAAAAAAAGAGGACAAAUUACCAUUUAACUCAAGGGACUCCCUUUUUUUUUAUUUCUCCUUUAAACAGUGUGUAGUACAGGAAUGCCUUCUGUAAGUGGUCUGAUAAGCCAGCCACUGCAAAGCAGUGCUUACUUAAAAAGACUUGAGAGCCAUGUAUAGUAAGAAGAUAUCCAUAACUUUGAUGAUGAUGGUCCUAACAAAACCAUUUAAGUUUUAACUCCUAAUGAAUUAAUUAGCAUCAGCUAUAGUGCAGUAAGGAAUGCCCAUGUUUGCAGUGCAUUGUAUGAAUGCUUACUACUUACUUUAGUUAGUUAGUGCGUGAUCAGAUUUUGUUGUAGUAACCUAAACAUAACUGCAUCUUUCAGUUACCUUCUCUUUUGAAAAAAAUAGCACAUAGCAUUUCUUGUAUGUAUAGUACCUAGACAAGAAAAAAUUGCAGUGUAAUGCUUUCACUUGUUGACCCUUGGUAGUGACAAGAAAAGGGUUUGGCCAUUUUGCUUUGUGUUUUGCCAUUUUGCUUUGUGUUUUGCCUUUGUGACUUGCAUAAUGGUCUCCAUAUGUCAGUGUGACUGAUAAUCCAUGACAACAAAGAGGAACUGAAUGUAGAGGAAUCAUCUUACUCUAUUUCUUUCCUACUGCUUAUGACUCUUUUCAAAGGUUGGGCAGCUACACAAGCUUCAAACCAACUUCUUCCAUUAUUACAAUACACUGUUUACCUUAUUUGUUUGACUUGGAUAGCUCCUGACAAGUAAAGGACCCAGAACAAACAGCACACCCCACUUUCAAGAGCAAACUAGCAGAUGAAGUUGAACUUCUAAUCUUUCAGUUGUUUGCUUUAGUGAUGGGAUCUGUUAAGUGGGUAGCUUAGCUAAUACAAACAAACCAGUUUCCUUGAAAUACUGCAAUUACUGAGAUAGGAUCUCUCUCCUGUAUUCUUAUUACAAACGUUGCAGGCACUGGUGGUUUGCAUUCAAGGAGGAAUGUCAGUUACUUAGAUGUCACCAGUCAGGGUGAAGGUGUCUAAUGGAAAACCAGAGGAAUUUUUCCCUAUAGUUCCAUUAGUCUUUCCACUUGGAGUUGCAGAAUUAAUUUUCUCAACAGUGAAAAUCUAGUUCAGCAAAGGUUUAAGUGAUGUUUGACUUGGGAAGGAUCCUGUAGGACAGGUGAGUUGGCCUGGUCUGCCCAUCUAACUAGUGACUGGGCCUGAAAUUUGAAAACUAGCAGCUUUUUUGCCUUUCCCAGAUCUGUGAAUGGUAAAAUGUGAUGUAAUAAAUAGAUCUGUUUUUUUUUUUUUAUUUGAUGUUUGUAUUAGAGUAACAACACUUGGUAACAUACCAGUAAUACAUGGACUGAGUGCUUCUCAGGCACAUGCAGAGAGGCAGUUCCUGUAUCAGUGAGAUUACAGUCUUGAGGAGAUUGAAAAAUAAGGAAGUAGUUGUUUUUAUUUUUACUCUGAAGGCGGAAAAACAGACUCUGAGUCACGCAGGGACAGACAGAAGCACCUCCCAAAACCCCAGGUUGUAGUCCAAGCCUUUCUGCAUAGUUCUUGUUCCUUUAUAUCCUGCUGUGAGAUAGGAGGUAAGUCCUGGGUGUCUAUUUUCAUCUACAAGAUUGAAUUGCAUAAUUGUUUACAUUGUUUUGUUUUCAUGUGGAGAACAGUAUGGAGGUGGAAGAGAUCUUUUGCUUGGGGUAGUUCUUAAUGGUGAUGAAGACAAAAUCAAGAACUUUGCAUUAGCUAAAGUUUUCUCAGGACUGAUGACUUCCAGCCCAGGUAUAAUUCAGAUAUAAUUCAAGCCAAAUCAUUGCUCAUUAAGAUGGGACAGUUGUCUUCGCUGAUCAGACUUAGUAAAAAGCUUCCAGUUUUGGAUGUUGCUUAACACUGUGCCAGCUCAGUGCUGGUAGGAAAGUUCAGGGGCAGUCCAAAGAGAUCGGUUAAAUCAACCCAUUGUGAACAUGUGUUUCCAUAGAAGAGACUGCCUUUAGCUACAAACUCAUCCCAGUCAGUUGUGUCACAUGGUUAGCAGGCCAUCCAAAGUGUCUUCACAUCACUUUUGUUCUGCCAUUGAAUUUCUCCUUAAAUUUCCUUAAGAACAUUUUCUUUUGAAUAAUGCUUUAAAAAAAAAAAAAAAGGCUAAAAUGUUUUCAGAAGCUUUAAGAAAUCAGUAAUCUCUGUUAACUGGAGCCAGUGUACUUAGAACAAACAUCUAUGUCUUUUUGUUUUUCUAGUUAACUUUUGUAUACAAUAACAAGAGCUGAAAUGUUGACCUUUCACACUCAGAGUUUGCAGGUUUCCCCUUUGCAAUGCUCUUUACAUGUCACAUUUCUCCUACACCUCUCCACUCCCUUUUACCUAAGCUUUCUUUACUGGCUGCCAACAGCUCUCAGUUCUAUCCUUGCAUUACCAAAGCAGUCUGUAUUGUCAAGUGGAUUGAGUGUGGGGCUACAUGCCAGCAUUCCUGAUUGCUUAUCUCAGCUAUGGCACAGAUUUGUCAGCCCUUGUGCAAUUCAGUUAAUCUAGUUCCCAGUCUUUAAAAUGAGGAUGAAGACAUUUACGUAACUAUUGGAGAUAAUUUGUAAUCAGCCUGAAUACUGAAUGCCAAGCUGUGGCGUGCAUUUCUCUAUACUUAUAUCAAUGGCUUUGUAAUUUCACACCAUUGAUAACUGCUUAUUUGUCACAUUCAUACACCACUGUUUUCAUCAGAAUUUAAAUUUUAAAUUUUUCAUCAGAAUUUCUGGUACAUUUUUUAUUUCUCCUGAGGUUUGAGAGGUAAGAACAACUUUGUCAGAAUAAACUAUGCUAUUCUGAUCACAUUCUCAGGGAGAGCAUGCUCAGAAGUGACAGAAGACUUCUAUUUCUCCUGACACUUCAGUCUGCAGAGAAGGGAAGAGAUGUUAGCAAUCUCUCUGUUACGUCCAUCCAGAUCAGCAAGUAGAACUAUCACAGUUGCUGGUGAACCUGAGCAGCUCGGAGCUGCUGUUGUAACUGCAGCUCUUUUAUAAAUAGGGUAGGCUCAGCUGAUUAGGGCUCUUAUCUGAUCUUCACUGGUUAAUGAGGAUAAGUGUUCAUCAGGUCUGGAGUUUGUGCCUCUUACAAAAUAUCGAGCACCUGCAUGAUGUUACUCUUCUUAGGGGAAAAAAAAACUGUCACUUUAUCUGUUAAACAUUUCAGGAUGUAUUUUUGUGGGAAACAGUUCUCAUGGUGCUUUUCUUUUCAUCUUUAUUUGGACAAAUUCACCCCCAAAGCCAAUUCACUUACUCUUCAGUUAGCUUUUGGAGUCAGUAAUUGGGUAUGAACAGACGUAGGUAACAAAGGCAGUGUCUGAGCAUGGUUCCUGUGUGGUGGAACGUAUUCUGCUGCUGCUUUUGAGAUAAAUGUCUUGACUCUAUGGAACUUGGUGCUAUAUUCCUUCCUAGCACCGUGUUCAGUUGUUCCUUUGCAGUUUGAACAUGCCUUUUAAGCACCUGAAGACUUUUGAGUCCCUGAGAUACUGACUUCAUAGAACUGUGUACUGUUUCAUCAACUCCUUGCAUAGUGGGCCCUUAACAUGCUUCAGAAGGAGGAGUCAAGAGAAAAUUUGACUCAAAAUAGUGUACUUCCUAAGAAGUGCUGUAGGAUUUCCCCUUAUCUAGCAACUACUUCCUCUUUUUCAAGUUUGCUUCUUCCUUUAUUGACUAUCACUUCUGUAACUCCCUGCUUUCCUGGAAACAUGCAUUGUGCAAAAAAAGGAAGAGAGGAAAAAUCCCAAAUUACCUCAUUCUCAAAGGGCAUAAUUCGUUCUUACUUUGUCUGUUUGCUACAAUCUACGUUCCAGUGAGAGUCAGGUAUCUGUGUGACUGUGAAGGAUUGUUUCUAUGUUGGCAUGAAGUUUGUGACAAAGUUCUGAUGACUUCAGGAUCAUCGGCUCGGGGCUGAUGGAACUGGUCAGAACAAAUACUGCAAUCUUCACAUGUUGAUUUUUGUUUCAUUUCUCUCUUGCUGAAAAUCAGGUUCUGUAUUAAGGACAAUAGAAAAUGAUUUCCUGCUUUUCUGGAGCUUCUGUCUCUUGUCGAGUGAUUCCAGCAUCAGAAGGGAACGUGCAUUCUUAAGCAGGGAUUUUGUCAGAAGGAAUCUUUAACCACCAAUGUACUAAACAGAGCCCUAAGAGUGCGUGACAGCUGAGGUGUGCUGGAUGGGUGUGGGUGAUGUGUGAGCAGCAGAGGGCUGAGGUGGCAGUAUCUGUGCCAUUGGGGCCGAGCCCCACCUGAGGGGAGGCUGCUGGACAAGUCAGUGUCACUCUGAUGUCCUUUUUUAGCAGCCUUCUAGUGAGGAAUAACUCCAGUUCCACAUAACUUCUAGACUUGAAAACUCUUAGUUCUCCCUGCCCCAUCUGUGUGGGCUCUGUGCCAUGUGAAACACGGCUCGCAUUAGAAUCUCAGCUCGGUUGUAGAACUGCAACCAUGGACGGCUGAGGCCGUCGAGCCUUGCUGAAUGCCACAGAGUUAAUUAAAUUUAGUUAAUUUAACUAAAUGCGCGCUGGAAACCCUCACCGCCCCAUAGAGCGGCAACGCCGCCCGCCUAGCGCAUGCGCAGCGCCACCCUCACUGCGCGCGGGCGCACGGACCGAGCCCAGCCCGCGCAUGCGCGC
This is a non-coding RNA of Meleagris gallopavo (turkey), 10908 nucleotides long. Lineage: Eukaryota; Metazoa; Chordata; Aves; Galliformes; Phasianidae. The record is from RefSeq and is a predicted model, not a curated record.